Molecule: non-coding RNA, 114 nt
Organism: Macaca mulatta (Rhesus monkey)
Lineage: Eukaryota; Metazoa; Chordata; Mammalia; Primates; Cercopithecidae
Source: Rfam
GCUCACUUCAGCAGCACAUAUACCGAAAUUGGAAUGAUACAGAGAAGAUUAGCAUGUCCCCUAAACAAGGAUAACACUUUUUUUUAAAAAUCUACUUAAAUACUAUAUAUUUUU